RNAcentral lists this small RNA (922 nucleotides) under Pan troglodytes (chimpanzee). RNAcentral describes it as "processed transcript". Lineage: Eukaryota; Metazoa; Chordata; Mammalia; Primates; Hominidae. The record is from RNAcentral.
GGCAGGUUCCGGGCGUCGGGACAAUUCGUGAUGGCGGGGGCUGGUUCUGCCGCUGUAUCGGGGGCAGGGACCCCGGUGGCGGGGCCCACAGGCCGCGACCUUUUCGCCGAAGGUCUGCUGGAGUUCCUGCGACCCGCUGUGCAGCAGCUCGACUCUCACGUACACGCCGUCAGAACUGUGCCGCAUAAAUGAGGAUCAGAAGGUGGCCCUGGAUCUUGACCCCUAUGUUAAGAAGCUACUUAAUGCCCGGCGACGCGUUGUCUUGGUUAACAACAUUCUACAGAAUGCUCAGGAACGACUGAGACGGCUAAACCACAGUGUUGCCAAGGAAACAGCCCGCAGGAGAGCAAUGCUGGAUUCGGGAAUUUACCCCCCUGGCUCCCCAGGCAAAUAACAGAUGAGCCUAUGGACUCAGUAGCACAAGUACUGUUCCCCAGCUGCCUUGUUUCAACAGACAUGCAAAGAUCCUAGGAGACAGUCCCCAUAGACCUUCAGACAUUAAAAAGGGAGCCGUACGGUUCGUUUGAAGCACUUCGUCUUACCCAUUUAUGUAGGGGCCCCAGGAAACCUACACACAGCCAGAAUGAGGUUCCCAAAGGACUUACAUUAAUUAUGGCUCUUGCUUCCUUUCACAAAUGAGCUGAGGCCUCUACUUUUUUUUUUAAGCUGCAUACUUGAGGCUUACCUUCUUCAGGACUAGUUAACCAGAGGGGCUUCCUUUGUAUGUUACAUGCCUGGUUACACGGGCCUGGACAGCAUGUCCUCUACCUGUGACUUCUCAUUUUCCUGUUUACACUGGGGAUUUGGAGGGGGCAGGCAAAGUCAAAGUGAAUGACCUCUGUCCACCCACUUUUUUAUUGCACUGGCUUGAAUACAGUAGCAGUGUUGAUAGAAUCAUUUUAUUCAAUAAAUACUUAAAACG